UCGGCGGACGGGGUAAGUAACGCGUGAGGCAAUACUGUCCUUCCUCGGUUCAUCGGGAUAACAUUUAGAAAUAGGUGCUAAUACCGAAUAAGACCACGAUGCGGCAUCGCAUUGGGGUAAAAAGGUUACUGGACAGAGAUGGGCUCGCGUCCGAUUAGGUAGUUGGUGAGGUAACGGCCCACCAAGCCGACGAUCGGUAGCCGGACUGAGAGGUUGAACGGCCACAUUGGGACUGAGACACGGCCCAGACCCCUACGGGAGGCAGCAG
This 268-nucleotide ribosomal RNA is filed under the name uncultured bacterium. RNAcentral's name for it is "partial 16S ribosomal RNA". It matches the Rfam family "Bacterial small subunit ribosomal RNA", at positions 95 to 354 of the family's 1533-position model. The record is from RNAcentral.